GAUGAACGCUGGCGGCGUGCCUAACACAUGCAAGUCGAACGGGCUCGGAUUGAAACCUAGUGAUUUCCGAGUUAGUGGCGGACGGGUGAGUAACGCGUGGAUAACCUGCCGUAUGCAGGGGGAUAACAGUUGGAAACAGCUGCUAAUACCGCAUAAGCGCACAGUACCGCAUGGUACGGUGUGAAAAGAUUUAUCGGCAUACGAUGGAUCCGCGUCCGAUUAGCCAGUUGGCGGGGUAACGGCCCACCAAAGCGACGAUCGGUAGCCGGCCUGAGAGGGCGGACGGCCACAUUGGGACUGAGACACGGCCCAA
This 313-nucleotide ribosomal RNA is filed under the name uncultured bacterium. Its description in RNAcentral is "bacterial SSU rRNA". It matches the Rfam family "Bacterial small subunit ribosomal RNA", at positions 28 to 334 of the family's 1533-position model. The record is from RNAcentral.